RNAcentral lists this unclassified non-coding RNA (256 nucleotides) under Hevea brasiliensis (rubber tree). The record is from RNAcentral. Lineage: Eukaryota; Viridiplantae; Streptophyta; Magnoliopsida; Malpighiales; Euphorbiaceae.
CCACUAACGACUCCCUCCGCACCGUCUUCGCCCCCUUCGGUGAGAUCGAAGAAGCCGUCGUAAUCACCGACAAAGCUACCGGCCGCAGCAAGGGCUACGGCUUCGUCACUUUCCGCCACAUCGACGGCGCAAUCAUCGCCCUCAAGGAGCCGAGCAAAAAGAUCGACAGCAGGGUCGCCGUCGCCAGUCUGGCCUCAGCGGGGCCCAAUGCUGCAAGCGGAGCUGGCACCGGCAUUCCUGCCCCGACCGCCGACAC